GAAUGUGGUAAGUGUCUGUUUAAG
This 24-nucleotide non-coding RNA is filed under the name Rattus norvegicus (Norway rat). The record is from RNAcentral. Lineage: Eukaryota; Metazoa; Chordata; Mammalia; Rodentia; Muridae.